Molecule: transfer RNA, 85 nt
Filed under: Felis catus (domestic cat)
Lineage: Eukaryota; Metazoa; Chordata; Mammalia; Carnivora; Felidae
Also listed under: 1 other name
Rfam family: tRNA
About the family: Transfer RNA (tRNA) molecules are approximately 80 nucleotides in length. Their secondary structure includes four short double-helical elements and three loops (D, anti-codon, and T loops).
Source: Rfam by way of RNAcentral
GCCUAGGUGGCUCAGUCGGUUGAGCAUCCAAUUUUGGCUCAGGUCAUGAUCUCACUCUUCGUGGGUUCGAGCCCCACAUUGGGCU